UACGGAGGGUGCAAGCGUUGCUCGGAAUUAUUGGGCGUAAAGGGUAGGUAGGUGGUCUCGUUUGUCUGAGGUGAAAGCCCAGGGCUUAACCCUGGAAGUGCCUCAGAAACGGCGAGACUUGAGUCCUGGAGAGGGUCGUGGAAUUCCCGGUGUAGCGGUGAAAUGCGUAGAGAUCGGGAGGAACACCAGAGGCGAAGGCGGCGACCUGGACAGGCACUGACACUCAACUACGAAAGCGUGGGGAGCAAACAGG
RNAcentral lists this ribosomal RNA (253 nucleotides) under uncultured bacterium. RNAcentral's name for it is "partial 16S ribosomal RNA". It matches the Rfam family "Bacterial small subunit ribosomal RNA", at positions 524 to 776 of the family's 1533-position model. The record is from RNAcentral.